AUUAAGCCAUGCAUGUCUAAGUUCACACUGUUUGACGGUGAAACCGCGAAUGGCUCAUUAAAUCAGUCGAGGUUCCUUAGAUGACACGAUCCUACUUGGAUAACUGUGGCAAUUCUAGAGCUAAUACAUGCUUACCAAGCUCCGACCUUUAUUGGAAAGAGCGCUUUUAUUAGUUCAAAACCAAUCGCCGCGUGCUCCUCACGGGGUGCGCGGUGUCCCCAUUGGUGACUCUGGAUAAGUUUGUGCUGAUCGCAUGGCCUUCGUGCCGGCGACGCAUCUUUCAAAUGUCUGCCCUAUCAAAUGUCGAUGGUACGUGAUAUGCCUACCAUGUUUGUUACGGGUAACGGGGAAUCAGGGUUCGAUUCCGGACAGGGAGCAUGAGAA
Molecule: ribosomal RNA, 384 nt
Filed under: Radix natalensis
Lineage: Eukaryota; Metazoa; Mollusca; Gastropoda; Lymnaeidae
Description: SSU rRNA
Rfam family: Eukaryotic small subunit ribosomal RNA
Source: RNAcentral